CAUCUCUUGUGCUUACACACGCAGAAACCCAGAUGUCAGCCUGGUACGAGUCAAAGUGCCGGGCUGCUUUUACAGCCCCAGCAGCACAGAGAGCACGAGGGCACAGCGCUUGCCACUGGAAGAAAACCUACUUUGAAUACUUGGAAUAUUUAACUGACUGCAACAGAUAAUUAGCCAAACCCUCUUACGCCUCCAAAUAUAGAUUCAUUAGUCAUAUGAAAAUAUCUCAUUGGAACCAAAUGUGAGUCAUUAGUGAAGUCAACGGCAGAUCAUAAAAAAGGGCAAUGUUUUUGUUGGCUUGGAGUUUUGGAGUCCCUUGCAUUCCGAGCAGCGAGUGCUGUAACCAGAUGCUGCUGCCGCGGGGACCCCAAAAGCGACCAAGUUCCUCCAGAAGUGACACCAGGAUGGCUAAAAUCACCACGAGGUGCAAAGAUGCGGCUGUAGGAUUUAACAAGCAAAGCGAGCUGGCAGCUCUUUCAUAACAACAUAGCAGACGCGUGAUGGGUGGUCAGGGAAAGGGACCCUGCCUGAUUAAACCCUUGUAAAA
Molecule: long non-coding RNA, 547 nt
Organism: Cygnus olor (mute swan)
Lineage: Eukaryota; Metazoa; Chordata; Aves; Anseriformes; Anatidae
Exons: 2
Source: RefSeq, a predicted model, not a curated record